AAUAUGACCUGCAGGCAGUCCUUGCAUGAGACCUGCCCAGAUACCUUGGACAGGUCCUCUGUGUGAAUGGAGAGCUGGACCUGGCAAACCCUGCUAGGCCACUGAGUAGCCUGGUUCCCAGGCAGGAGGACCUUUGUUACUGGCCUCAUCCCAAGAUCGUUCUCAUCUGCACAGACCCCUUCUCCAAAUAAGGCCACAUUCAUGGCUCCAAACAUGGCUGUGUCUUUUGAGACUGCCACUCAGCCCACCAUGGAAUAUGUGGAUGAAGCCAAGUUCUGCCACCAGCUCGAACAGUAGCCAGCUUUCCUUCUCUCUUGGUGGUGGAGAUUGAGUGCCUGGAUGACUGAGUACUAUGAACCUUAUCUGAAGGAACAAAUUGCCUAGGCUUCCACAGUUCUGAAACAUGGUGCACUGGGGUGCUCUUCUCAAAGAAAAGUCUUUCACCUUUGCAAUUUUAAGGCAGCAAAGAGUGGACUACUGCUGGUCCUUGUGAUGUCCUCAGGCUGUCUUUUUGAUUGUCCUGUUCCUUUUCAGCAACCAAAUUCUGCUGUGUUCCUUCUUUUCAGGGCAUAACUUCACUGAAGCUCCCUUUCUGGGUAAACUUAAAACUUUAAAAAUUAUUC
This 623-nucleotide long non-coding RNA is filed under the name Heterocephalus glaber (naked mole-rat). Its description in RNAcentral is "lncRNA (ENSHGLG00100041217.1)". Lineage: Eukaryota; Metazoa; Chordata; Mammalia; Rodentia; Bathyergidae. The record is from RNAcentral.